AUUGAACGCUGGCGGCAGGCCUAACACAUGCAAGUCGAGCGGAUGAAGGGAGCUUGCUCCUGGAUUCAGCGGCGGACGGGCGAGUAAGGCCUAGGAAUCUGCCUGGUAGUGGGUGAUAACGUGCGGAAACGGGCGCUAAUACCGCAUUCGUCCUGAGGGCGUACGGGGGGGAGCUUCGGACCUUCCGCUAUUGGAUGAGCCUAGGUCGGAUUAGCUAGUUGGUGGGGUAAAGGCCUAACGAGGCGACGAUCCGUAACUGGGCUGAGAGGAUGAUCAGUCACAAUGGAACUGAGAACAGGUCCCAGCUCCUAAGGGAGGCAGGCGUUGGGAAUAUUGGAACAUGGGCGGAAGCCUGAUCCAGGCCAGCCGGCUGUGGGAAGGAAGUCUUCGGAUUGUAAAGCACUUUAUGUUGGGAGGAAGGGCAGUAAGUUAAAUCCUUGCUGUUUUGACGUUACCAACAGAAUAAGCACCGGCUAACUUCGUG
Molecule: ribosomal RNA, 484 nt
Filed under: uncultured bacterium
Lineage: Bacteria
Description: partial 16S ribosomal RNA
Rfam family: Bacterial small subunit ribosomal RNA
Source: RNAcentral